UACAUCCUGUCCCGAUAAGUUUAAUAAUUACAAAAAAUCCCUUAAAAUUGCUGAGCCGUGAUACUUUAGAAAGUUAUGAUACAUGGUAAAUGAUACAUAGUAACUUAAAACUGUUAAGAAAAAAUAGGGGAUAAAAACGGUAAAUUUAAAGUUGUUACUAAAACAGCUUAAUUUGUGGUAACAGAUCAUUAAUCAGCAUUAAAUCAGCACUUAAUUGGAUAUUAAUUUCAUAAUUUGAAAAUCAAAGAUUGUAUCAGUUAUUUAGAAAACAAUUGGAGCUACCGAAAUUUUUUUGUUGUUGCAGUGGGUUUUUGAAGAUGAAUACUUCGAUUUUGAUGAGAUAUUCCGGAAUUUGGGUGAACGAAUUGCAGUAUGAAAAUUACAAAAUUGAUGGAAUCGUUGUUGGUGAUUCAAUUUCGUUUUCUAAUCUCAAAGCAGCAAUUGCGGCCGAGUUGGACAUUGAUGUAUCAAGGAAAGAAAUUGAAAUUCGAUACAUUGUAGAAGGAAUUCAUACUACAUGCAGAACAUGUGAUACAUAGCUACUACAUGUAUCAUUACAUUGACUAAACAAUGUACACACAGAUUCAACAUGUAUCAUCAAGCACAGAUUAUACUUUACUACACUUAUAUUACUAUGAAGUAAUAGAACAAUUAACAAAAACGAAAAAGAGAAGAAUAUACGAACUGAUGAUGGAUUAACUAUAAAAAGGGUCUGGGUUCUUACGAUUCAAUAUUAGGAAGAAAUAGUCGAAUAUGGAUUAAGAAUAAAAAGAAGAAAAUAGAAAAA
Non-coding RNA from Solanum lycopersicum (tomato), 787 nucleotides. The record is from RefSeq and is a predicted model, not a curated record. NCBI's taxonomy places the organism in Eukaryota, Viridiplantae, Streptophyta, Magnoliopsida, Solanales, Solanaceae.